This 1013-nucleotide long non-coding RNA is filed under the name Canis lupus dingo (dingo). RNAcentral's name for it is "lncRNA (ENSCAFG00020016775.1)". Lineage: Eukaryota; Metazoa; Chordata; Mammalia; Carnivora; Canidae. The record is from RNAcentral.
CGACGCUGCGGGCGAGCAGCCCGGGCUCCGGCAGCCGCCACCGUCGCCGCCGCCGCCACCCGGAGGACCCGGCAAAAGUUUGGAUCUGGGGGAGGACGCGGCGCUGAGCCGGAUGACCAGCGGGGCCCGGAGGAGACCUGGAGAAUCUCCGCAGUGCUGAAUGAUACAGUAAUAAUACUUGAAGAAGAAAAAUGUUUGCCUGAAACAUACUGCUCUGAAGAGUUCUGCUAAUAAAACAAGAAGAGUUUGGAGGUAUAUGUGUGGGGAGUCAGAAACGCACAAACAAAUCUAAGUCUUGGAUACCACGGGAGGGGGUACUUAUUCUAUUCCUAAGCUUGGUGGUGCUAAUUUAGCCCAUAUGUUCCUAACAGAAUAGAAGGAUGAGAUAGCCCAAGUUAUUUUUAAUUGGACAUUUUCUUUUCCAGAUAGGUCCUAAGGAAACUCUGAAUAAAGAAAAGCACAAAAUGCAAUGGGGGAAUUUAUUUUUGUGUGAAUGGCUUGGAACUCAUGAAGGAGACAUGAUUCUUUUCGAGGCAGAGGGUACACACCAGAUGAUAAAAUACAAGAUACCUAAUUUAUUUCAUAAAUGUCUUGAAGACUAUGAUGCUCAUGGACAUCAAUUAUUUUCGUGUUCUUUAAGACAUUCUUCAGGCAACAACAGUUCAAUAACAGGAAAGAAUGGCAUCACAGGAUUGCAUCAUGUUCUUCAAAAUGAAAUCUAUUGAUGGUUGAACAGUAUAAACAACAAGGAACAUAAAUGGUCAGAAGGACCCAAGGGAAACAGGCCAAUGAAAUUAAACAAAGGAAAUUUUAUACUGUAAGGAGAAAUCAAAGGGUUGCAACAGAACCCUGCAUGAAGGGACAGAGCUCUUGAGUCCCAGACCUAGAGGCAGUUGAGAACCCGUGUGGAGUAAAGCCUGAGCUUUUUGGUUUCCUUUUGUGAGGCUAUUUUCACAGUGUUAAAUAUAAAAAGAAAUAAUAAAUAAAUGUAUUUUAAAUCUAUUUUUUCUUAC